Non-coding RNA from Pangasianodon gigas (Mekong giant catfish), 72 nucleotides. The record is from the annotation of a GenBank genome assembly. NCBI's taxonomy places the organism in Eukaryota, Metazoa, Chordata, Actinopteri, Siluriformes, Pangasiidae.
UCCCUGAAGGACUAGUGGUUAGGCCCCAGUGCUCUCACUGCUACGACCUCGGUUCGAUUCCCGGUUAGGGAA